RNAcentral lists this long non-coding RNA (226 nucleotides) under Mytilus galloprovincialis (Mediterranean mussel). Lineage: Eukaryota; Metazoa; Mollusca; Bivalvia; Mytilida; Mytilidae. The record is from RNAcentral.
AAAUAAAACUAAAGGCUCUUAAGAGCCUACGUCGUUCACCUUGGUCUAUGUGCAUAUUAAACAAAGAACACAGAUGGAUUAAUGACAAAAUUGUGUUUUGGUGAUGGUGAUGUGUUUGUAGAUCUUACUUUACUGAACAUUCUUGCUUCUUACAAUUAUCUCUAUCUAUAAUGAACAUGGCCCAUUAGUUACAGAGGAAAAUAUUUUGUUAAAAUUUACAAAAAUU